RNAcentral lists this ribosomal RNA (853 nucleotides) under uncultured bacterium. RNAcentral describes it as "bacterial SSU rRNA". It matches the Rfam family "Bacterial small subunit ribosomal RNA", at positions 28 to 896 of the family's 1533-position model. The record is from RNAcentral.
GACGAACGCUGGCGGCGUGCUUAACACAUGCAAGUCGAACGAUGAAGCCCUUCGGGGUGGAUUAGUGGCGAACGGGUGAGUAACACGUGGGUAAUCUGCCCUUCACUCUGGGACAAGCCCUGGAAACGGGGUCUAAUACCGGAUAUCACUUCCGUAGGCAUCUGCGGUGGUUGAAAGCUCCGGCGGUGAAGGAUGAGCCCGCGGCCUAUCAGCUUGUUGGUGAGGUAACGGCUCACCAAGGCGACGACGGGUAGCCGGCCUGAGAGGGCGACCGGCCACACUGGGACUGAGACACGGCCCAGACUCCUACGGGAGGCAGCAGUGGGGAAUAUUGCACAAUGGGCGAAAGCCUGAUGCAGCGACGCCGCGUGAGGGAUGACGGCCUUCGGGUUGUAAACCUCUUUCAGCAGGGAAGAAGCGAAAGUGACGGUACCUGCAGAAGAAGCGCCGGCUAACUACGUGCCAGCAGCCGCGGUAAUACGUAGGGCGCAAGCGUUGUCCGGAAUUAUUGGGCGUAAAGAGCUCGUAGGCGGCUUGUCACGUCGGGUGUGAAAGCCCGGGGCUUAACCCCGGGUCUGCAUUCGAUACGGGCAGGCUAGAGUGUGGUAGGGGAGAUCGGAAUUCCUGGUGUAGCGGUGAAAUGCGCAGAUAUCAGGAGGAACACCGGUGGCGAAGGCGGAUCUCUGGGCCAUUACUGACGCUGAGGAGCGAAAGCGUGGGGAGCGAACAGGAUUAGAUACCCUGGUAGUCCACGCCGUAAACGGUGGGAACUAGGUGUUGGCGACAUUCCACGUCGUCGGUGCCGCAGCUAACGCAUUAAGUUCCCCGCCUGGGGAGUACGGCCGCAAGGCUA